UGUUCCCCAAUUAAAUUUUUUGCAGAUAAACAUGUUCUGUACAAAAAGAUAAGGGUAAAAAACAGAUAUAAUCCUUGGUUUACGCAUGAAUUGUUUUGAAAUAAAUGUAGCGUGGGUUAAGACGGACUGAUUCUACGUCUGAUUGGCAGUCUUUCAGACAAUGAGAAAUAGAUUUCUAUCCCUAGUUAGAAAAGCAAAAUCAACAUAUUCCUUGAAAUGUGUAUCUGAGAGUGGUGGUAAUCCAGCUAACUUCUGCAAAGUGGUCAAAUAUUUUAAACAAAACUGCACCCCCUCGUUACUGCUUUUAAUAACCAUUUGGCUUCAGCUGGCCAAAAAUGUGUGUUGCUUUUAAUAACCAAAUCCAAUAUCCAAACAAUUGUUCUGUAUUCAAGUGAAUCACCCUUACCUUGAUUAAUUUGUCUGUGUUGUUAUCCUCCGACAUGAUGUUCUACUACGGUCAAAAUUUGUGGUGCUUUUAAUUACCAUUUUGCUUCAGCUGGCCAGAAAUGUGUGGUGAUUUACGAUCAAAACCGCAAUAUAUCAUGGGUAUAUUGUGACUGACUGAUCUACAAAUAAAAAUGAUUUAUUAUUUAUGAUGCAAGGUGAUUUGUAUGAUGCAAGGUGAUUUGUAGUCGGCAGUCAUCUGCAUCUGCAGUGAACACGGCCACUCUUUUAACCUGCAAUGUUAAUUCUCCUAACCUGCUGCGUAAGUUCUCCUAACCGCCCACAGAAAAGUAAUUUCUGUAUUGACGUAAUUUCUGCAUGAAAAGGGUUUCCCCGUCUACCAUAGUGCCCUGCGAAUAGCUGCGCAAAACUAUAGGUGGUGCUCUUGAAAUUUCCGCUGAUUUGGUCCCGACAGCGGAACCAAAUCCCUAACAAGUUUUAAGGAAACAAAAAAGUAAAAGUAACAUGUCCUGCUUUCAAGAUAAGUUGAUAUUUCACAUAUAUUUCCCUAAUUACACAUGUCCCGAUAUUUCAGGAAAACGUUGGACAUUUCACCUAGAUAUCCCUAAUAUGAUGACAGUAGUGUACCACAUAGAAGCUUAUCAGGCUUACCCUUUUCCAGAGUAGUUUUCUCACUUCAAGUUGUAUAAUAUAUAUAUCUCUGUUUCUAUAUUUAUUUAACCCCUAUAUAUAUUAGGUUCCGGCCAUGGCGCCGGGCUGAACGCCGUGCCUGGACUGGCGCAGAGGCCUCCGGCCCUGGAGCUGAGUUGGACGCUGUACCUGGACUAGGCACCGGCGCAGAAGAAGGCUCCGGACAUGGAGCUUGACUGGACAUCGUGCCUGGACCGGCCACCGGCACAGAGUAAGGCUCCUGCCCUGAAGCGGGACUGGACACCGUCCCUGUACUGGGCAUCGGUGCAGAGGAAGGCUUCGACCUUGGAGCGGGACUGGACGCCGUGUCUAGCCUGGGCAUCGGUGCAGAGGAAGGCCAUGGAGCAGGACUGGACACCUUGCCUGGAAGCUCCGGACCCUCCACAGCCCGGAACCUCGCUGGAGGCUGUGGACCGUCGCGGGAGGUUCUGGAUUGUGGACCGUCGCGGGAGGUUCCGGACCGUAGACCGUCGUGGGAGGUUCCGGACCGUGGACCGUCGCGGGAGGUUCCGGACCGUGGACCGUCGCGGGAGGUUCCGGACCGUGGACCGUCGCGGGAGGUUCCGGACCGUGGACCGUCGCGGGAGGUUCGGGACCGGGGACCGUCGCGGGAGGUUCCGGACCGGGGACCGUCGCGGGAGGUUCCGGACCGGGGACCGUCGCGGGAGGUUCCGGACCGGGGACCAUCGCGGGAGGUUCCGGACCGGGGACCGUUGCGGGAAUCUCCAGACCGGGAACCGUCGCCGGAAGCUCUGGACUGUGACCGGACUGAUGACCCGCUCUUCCACUAUCCGCUGCUCCGCCGACUACUCCUCGUGGUGUCUCCUUCCAAGGAAGGGUCUCACAACCUCCCAUCAUUUCUUCCCAGGCAAUCGAUUCCACCCAACAAGCAAGAUUAAAUCACUCCCCAGUGAUAACAAUGUCCAACCCCAGGCUCCCAAGCAGGACAAGAGGGCCUCUGUUCCACCCCCCAAAAUGAGAAAAGUCAGACUCCUCAACGGACAUAGAUAACCUAACCCCCUUGCAUCCAAAAGAGGGGUGCGUCACUUGAGUGGCUUGAGUCGCUGGCGUGGUCUUCCUGUCUGGGUUGGCCCUCCCAAUUGGGUUGUGCCGUGGCGGAGAUCUUUGUGGGCUAUACUCGGCCUUCUCUCAGGAUGAGGACCUGAGCCCUGGGACUAUGCCUCAGGACUACCUGGCAUGAUGACUCCUUGCUAUUCCCAGUCUGCUGGCCGUGCUGCUGCUCCAGUUUCAACUGUUCUGCUGCGGCUAUGGAACCCUGACCUGUUCACCGGACGUGCUACCUGUCCCAGACCUGCUGUUUUCAACUCUCUAGAGACAGCAGGAGCAGUAGAGAUACUCUCAAUGAUUGGCUAUGAAAAGCCAACUGACAUUUACUCCUGAGGUGCUGACUUGCUGCACCCUUGACAACUACUGUGAUUAUUAUUAUUUGACCAUGCUGGUCAUUUAUGAACAUUUGAACAUCUUGGCCAUGUUCUGUUAUAAUCUCCACCCGGCACUGCCAGAAGAGGACUGGCCACAUAGCCUGGUUCCUCUCUCGAUUUCUUCCUACGUUUUGGCCUUUCUAGGCAGUUUUUCCUAGCCACCGUGCUUCUACACCUGCAUUGCUUGCUGUUUGGGGUUUUAGGCUGGGUUUCUGUACAGCAUUUUGAUAUAUCAGCUGAUGUAAGAAGGGCUAUAUAAAUACAUUUGAUUUGAUAGGACUUCCAAAAGUACAAUGGGGAGAGUGUCUGACUGGUAGUGUAAAGUCCCUAAAUGAAAAAGGAGAUGUUGUGUUGACAGGAUUAAAACGCACAAUAACUCCCCCUGUUUGUAUCUGCAACUCAGGGAAUGUGGAUGUAGGAAACACCACUAAAUUGCCUGUCUUACACAGACCUAAAAACAGAUACCAGUAGUUUUGAUGUACUGGAUGGGUAACAAUUGAUAACUUGGGUAAAUAUGUCAAACAUAGGCAAAGGCAUGGAGACACCUCAGAAUCUCUGGAUCUGUUGGGGUAAAUGGCUACAUUUUCCUCCCCAUGGGAUGGAAAGGGUGUUAUUAUCUGGGGAAAACGGAACUGACAGUAGCAACAUUACUUGCUGCUGAACAGUUCUUUACAAAUUAGUUUCAGAUUGAAUGGCAGAGACAAAAGAGCAGUGUCUCAAAAAUAAUGAAGCUUAUGGACAUGUGCUGUCUCAGAUAGAGAUGGCAGCCCUAGUAAUCUUUCCAGGUGUAGGAGUUGUAGUAAAUGGUAAGGGGAUUAAGAAUUUGACAUAGGCCCUCACUAAUUUGAUCGUAGAGGUUUUACUCAGUUGUCACUAAAUGUGCAGUAUUUGAAGGCAGUAGUGACUGGAGACAAAAUGGCACAUAUUGGCUAAAGACAGAGGGGCCUACAGGUCUCUUGGAAUAAACAAUGAGGAUUACAUUACUGUGUCAUGUUGCUUCCUGAGUCCUCUGACAACAUGACAGCUAUUAUUAAUGACCUGGCUAAAUUAGGAGGUACUCUGUGAAAAGCUGACAACACCAUUUUUGACCAAAUUGGACACUGGUUUAAUGGUGUAUUUGGAAACUUGAUGGAUAAGGUAAUGAUUUCUCGGGUAAAUGACUUGCAAUUAAAUAGACCGAGAACAGAACUACCGCAAUGUUACUUUUAUACUAUUAAUUAAUGCUCUCGGUUCGAAAUUUAUGAAAAUGAACUCUCCGUCAACAUUGCAAUGUUGCGCAACCACAAUAUUUUGUCUUACAAUAUUAAUCGGACUAAAAGGGAUCACAUAAUAGCUACAUUAACCUUCAUUUUCUCAUAUAAUUUUAUUGGGAAUGUAGUUGGAGAUGAUUUAGACCAAUGACUAAUCAGGUGUGCUCCCGCUCUCCUCGUGUCUUGAUAGAAAAAUGUAUUUAUUCUCUUCACAAACGGCAAACUCAUCACGCUUAGCACAUUUCCAUGAUUUGACAUGAUGUAACUAUCCCCCAGAAUCAUAAAGGUAUAUCUUUUUUGCCACUAACCUGUUGAUAAAAGCUUAUGUGAGAAGGUUAUCCAUCAAGUCAAUUGAUUAAGGCAUAAUUCUCAUGAUGACUUGAGCCCUUUGUAUUGGUGUAGACUUGAUGGACCAGACGGGACUCAUUCCCUCCCAAACCAAAAGGAAAAAUCAAUAUUUUCUCUGGUAGGCACAACCUACCCCUACAAACAAUAACCUCAAGUCAAAACCGAUACCGUACUGCAAGUAUAAACACCAUGGGACCACGCAGCCGUCAUACCGCUCAGGAAGGAGACGUACUCUGUCUCCUAGAGAUGAACGUACUUGCAAAAAUAACCUGAAAGGCAGCUCAGCAAGGAAGAAGCCACUGCUCCAAAACCACCAUAAAAAAGCCAGACUACGAUUUGCAACUGCACAUGGGGACAAAGAUUGUACUUUUCUGGUCUGAUGAAACAAAAAUAGAACUGUUUGGCCAUAAUGACCAUCGUUAUGUUUGUAGAAAAAAGGUGAGGCUUGCAAGCCAAAGAACACCAUCCCAACCGUGAAGCACGGCAGCAUCAUGUGGGUGUGCUUUGCUGCUUGAGGGACUUGUGCACUUCACAAAAUAGAUGGCUCAUGAGGUAGGAAAAUUAUGUGGAUAUAUUGGAAGCAGCAUCUCAAGACAUCAGGAAGUUAAAGCUUGGUCACAAAUGGGUCAUCCAAAUGGACAAUGAGCCCAAGCAUACUUCCAAAGUUGUGGCAAAAUGGCUCAAGGACAACAAAGUAAAGGUAUUGGAGUGAACAUUACAAAGCCCUGACCUCAAUCCUAUAGAAAAUGUGGGCCGAACUGAAAAAGCUUGUGUGAGCAAGGAGGCAUACAAACCUGACUCAGUUACACCAGCUCUGUCAGGAGGAAUGGGACAAAAUUCACCCAACUUAUUGUGGGAAGCUUGUGGAAGACUAGCCAAAAUGUUUGACCCAAGUUAGAGGCAAUGCUAUCAAAUACUAAUUGAGUGUAUGUAAACUUCUGACACACUGGGAAUGUGGUGGAAAUAAAUAAUUAUCUCUACUAUUAUUCUGACAUUUUCACAUUCUUAAAAUAAAGUGGUGAUCCUAACUGACCUAAGACAGGGAAUUUUCACUAGGAUUAAAUGUCAGGAAUUGUGAAAAACUGAGUUUAAAUGUAUUUGUCUAAGGUGUAUGUAAACUUCCGAC
This is an RNA transcript of Oncorhynchus keta (chum salmon), 5261 nucleotides long. RefSeq lists it as uncharacterized. Lineage: Eukaryota; Metazoa; Chordata; Actinopteri; Salmoniformes; Salmonidae. The record is from RefSeq and is a predicted model, not a curated record. The transcript is spliced from 4 exons.